RNAcentral lists this ribosomal RNA (252 nucleotides) under uncultured bacterium. Its description in RNAcentral is "partial 16S ribosomal RNA". It matches the Rfam family "Bacterial small subunit ribosomal RNA", at positions 525 to 776 of the family's 1533-position model. The record is from RNAcentral.
ACAGAGGGUGCAAGCGUUAAUCGGAAUUAUUGGGCGUAAAGCGCACGUAGGUGGACUAGUAAGUUGGAUGUGAAAUCCCCGGGCUCAACCUGGGAAUUGCAUACAAUACUGCUAGUCUAGAGUACAGUAGAGGGAAGUGGAAUUUCCGGUGUAGCAGUGAAAUGCGUAGAUAUCGGAAGGAACAUCAGUGGCGAAGGCGACUUCCUGGGCUGAUACUGACACUGAGGUGCGAAAGCGUGGGGAGCAAACAGG